UAGUUGAAGGAUGAGCAGUGCUC
This 23-nucleotide unclassified non-coding RNA is filed under the name Mus musculus (house mouse). RNAcentral's name for it is "oocyte_clustered_small_RNA10367". Lineage: Eukaryota; Metazoa; Chordata; Mammalia; Rodentia; Muridae. The record is from RNAcentral.